Molecule: long non-coding RNA, 3121 nt
Organism: Bombus huntii
Lineage: Eukaryota; Metazoa; Arthropoda; Insecta; Hymenoptera; Apidae
Exons: 2
Source: RefSeq, a predicted model, not a curated record
CGAUCACCAUGCAUCAUUAGAUUAUUACAUUAUUCAAUAUGUUUCCAUUUUGUUUAUAGUUUAUCAACGUUUAGUUGUUUAUCAAAUAACAAUCACGUUUUGCAACGGUAAAAGAGAACUGGUAAAACCCUCAUGACAUACAUAAGCAACCAUAAGAUUAAGUACAAUAAGAAUUAUUUACAGUGUCUAUAAAGAGUAUCGGUAUAUCGUUGUCUUUAUCAUAGCAUUUACAUACUGAUUAAUUAGGUUCAAAUAUUUUUUAUACCAUUCAGUAAUACUUUCAUGAAUACAUACAUUUGAUACUAUGAAAUUGUAAUGCAGGGCACGAUGGAAAAACGGUACACUGGAAAAUAAGGAUCUGUGCCAAUACUUUUUGCGAUUACUGUGGAAUGAAUCGAACGUUUUUAUGUCCUAGCUGUUUUUCUAUAAACAUCAUACGUGUCUCGUAACGUAAAACACCGAAUACAGAAGAAGUUGUGAAAACAUUUGGAAAAAUGCAUAAUCUAAUAUUUAUGGCCAACGGCGUAAGUACAUGAAUUAAUUUUGUCAAAUAUAUUUCAACUACAAUAGUAUGCUACUCCUAGAAUUUUCUCAUACGUUAUCGCAUUUCUCCUUCGUUCACCAUCCUGAAAAAUUCUCAAGUACAGUAUCGUGCCGAGUACACGUACUCUGAUCUCCCUACUCUACCGUAACACCAUUGACCCGAUCGUCAUCUCCGAGGAUAGAACCGAAUAGUCGACAAAGAGGAGACAAAGAGUCGUCUCUGGCGGCAACGUACAAGACAGCUUUUGUUAUCCAGAGAAGGAAGAAGGAGAAAAAAGAAAAGACGAAAAAAUAAGAACGAAAAGGGGCAAAAGCUGAGACAAGGAAAAAACCCGUGGACCGAGUGGAUCCCCGAGGUCGACGUCGGACACGCGGAAUAUCUGGUCUGACCAUAUCCGUUAAGGUCGCGAUAUUGUCUUUUUGCGCAACGGAAAACCGGUACUGGUUCCCUUGUCGUCGUUGGAAAACGAUUCUGUGAUCGAACAAGCUUCACCCACGCGAUUCUCCUAUCCGCGACGCAGUUCAGAUUCGAUGCACUCCCACCUCCCUGGACAAAGAUCAUUCCCAAGCAUUUCUCGACUUUGUUCCCGUCGAUCGAUCCUUUCUAUCAAUUUUACGACCAAUACAAAGUGUGGGAAGGUGAAGCGAGCAACCUGUAGGAGCAUGGGAGUUCCAAUCGUCCUAUUUCAUACUAUAGCAUGUUUCGUAUAGUAGUAUGAAAAUAAUGUAUAAAGGAACAGAACUUACAAAUUGCUCGUUAUACGUACAUUAAUAUCCAUAAGUAUUUAUAUAAGCGCAUGUAUAUAAGGUAAGAUAUACUUGAGAUAAAAUUCUUCGAUCUAGCUCUAGGCUCUAAUCUUAUCACAAGUUAGUAUAAAUAUAAUUGGUUGUUAUAAAUAAAGAAGCAAUAAUGAAACGUCUGUUCAAUGUCGAGAUCUUAGAGCUAUUGAUACAUGAUGUUUUCCUAGCUACAUUCUAAAAGUAGGAUUGAUUUUGUGAAGUAUCGGCUAUUCGUUACGGAUAAACAUGGAACUCGAGUGACGCAGAUAUAUUCCUUGUUUAAAUUUGACUGAACAUCUGAUCGCAGUUACAGCUGGUGGUAAGGAACUAACAGUAGAAUUGCAGCAGGUGUUCAAGUACUUAUAGACGCUAGCGUAUACAUGUACUAUGAUUACGUAGAAUCGAAUCUACAGUCUGUGCUGCGUAUUUGACGAAAUCGCUUUAAAACGGUAGUCGAUUUGAACGCGUACGACUUUCACCGAACAUUAAAUCAUAUCGGUCAUUAUAAAUAAUAGCAAAUAGCAAUACAGUGUCGUGAUUGUUCAUAUCGAUGGCUUCGUAAAACUGCCUAAGGGAACGAGUACGGAGAAGAAGCAGGAAUCGCGUAGAAUGGAAUGCGGCAGUUUCUACUCGAAAAAUCCGAGAGAAGGAAAAACUAAAAGCGUACAAGUGCAACGAACUGCGACGAGGACGAUUACGGAAUAUCGCGAGAGCCGACGGCGGCAGGAGGAAAACGUUGCGUCAAUUUGGCGGAGAUCCGACGUGCCAACGGCCGAAAGAAAAACGCAUCCACGAGGCGAUCUUGGAGACAAGCCAACUCGUGUCGUUUCCAUUUACGCGAAACUUUUCAGCCGUGGUUCGCUACUCUCUGUGUCUAGAUGCUAUACGUUGUGUCCGUUGCACCAGGCUCGCGCUUUCUAACGGCGAAUUUACCUCGUUAAAUCGUGAGCAACGUACCGGACUCGAGAAAAACUAGCGUCCCCGUCUGCCCGCGUUGCUCACGAGGGGGAGAGAGGACGCACGCAACAGUUUCAACCCUGUGGAAAAUCGUCGGGCAGAGAGCGAAGAGACAAAGGUCCGCGCGAUCCGCUCGACGCAUGGCAGUGGACCGACAUAAUAGUCGUUGUUGCAUUAUACUCCCCGGCUUCCCCUACGUAAUCGCGAUAUCGGUUCAACGGCCAUGCGAAAUUAACUUUCUCCGGCGCGGGUCUGCCAACGAGAAGCCCACUAGAAGCAGCAUGGUUACUACAUAUACAUUAGAUUGCCAGCGAUGUGCUCGAACCGCUUUCAAACCGAUUCCAUCACUUUUAAUAUCGAACAUAAAGUAAAUUCGAUUAACCGGUUUCUCUUUAGUGGGCUAUUUGAUUAAUAACUCGGUGAAUGGUUAACGUAGACCGGAUACAAUGGUACUUAAUCGGCAUGGCGAAACUGCAUAGAUAUUGAUAUAAUUAACGUGCGGUUCAGGAUAACAGAGACUGAUUUUAUGUCUUCGGUCCAUGCUGAUAGGAUAUUUUAAUGUGUUACGUUGUGAGGAUCAGUUGUAGAGUUGUAGAGACGAGUAGAGGUUGCUCUUCAAGUACAUUAUUUCUGCAAUACUACGUUGAUUCUAUAAUUGGAUGUUGUUUUGUAAUUAACAGUUAAAGCGCUAUAUAUUUGUAAUUUUAAGUGUAUCUAACGUGUUAAUCGAGAAAGUUCUGCUAACGGCUUAUUUAUUUAGAAAUCCCCUAUCUUUUUAUGCCACAAAUACCGUUGUAAAUCAAUUACAUUUACAAGGAUUAAAACCGUGUCCUAACCAAAA